CACUAGGCCCUAUUCAGGGCCACCAUACCCAAGCUCUAACAUAACG
Non-coding RNA from Operophtera brumata (winter moth), 46 nucleotides. The record is from Rfam. NCBI's taxonomy places the organism in Eukaryota, Metazoa, Arthropoda, Insecta, Lepidoptera, Geometridae.